RNAcentral lists this ribosomal RNA (435 nucleotides) under uncultured fungus. RNAcentral's name for it is "eukaryotic LSU rRNA". It matches the Rfam family "Eukaryotic large subunit ribosomal RNA", at positions 1 to 432 of the family's 3401-position model. Lineage: Eukaryota; Fungi. The record is from RNAcentral.
GACCUCAAAUCGGGUGGGACUACCCGCUGAACUUAAGCAUAUCAAUAAGCGGAGGAAAAGAAACUAACAAGGAUUCCCCUAGUAACGGCGAGUGAAGAGGGAAAAGCUCAAAUUUUGAAUCUGGUGUCUUUGACGCCCGAGUUGUAAUCUAGAGAAGUGUUUUCCGUGUCGGACCGUGCACAAGUUCCCUGGAACGGGGCGUCAUAGAGGGUGAGAAUCCCGUAUAUGGCACGGACUGCCGAUGCUUUGUGAUACACUCUCAACGAGUCGAGUUGUUUGGGAAUGCAGCUCAAAAUGGGUGGUAAAUUCCAUCUAAAGCUAAAUAUUGGCGAGAGACCGAUAGCGAACAAGUACCGUGAGGGAAAGAUGAAAAGCACUUUGGAAAGAGAGUGAAACAGUACGUGAAAUUGUUGAAAGGGAAGCGUUUGAAGUCAG